UACGUAGGUGACAAGCGUUGUCCGGAUUUACUGGGCGUAAAGAGCGCGCAGGCGGUCGUUCAAGUCGAGUGUGAAAGCCCCCGGCUCAACUGGGGAGGGUCACUCGAUACUGAUCGACUCGAAGGCAGGAGAGGGUAGUGGAAUUCCCGGUGUAGUGGUGAAAUGCGUAGAGAUGUGGAGGAAUACCGAUGGCGAAGGCAGCCCCCUGGGAUAACACUGACGCUCAUGCACGAAAGCGUGGGGAGCAAACAGG
Molecule: ribosomal RNA, 253 nt
Filed under: uncultured bacterium
Lineage: Bacteria
Description: partial 16S ribosomal RNA
Rfam family: Bacterial small subunit ribosomal RNA
Source: RNAcentral